AUUGAACGCUGGCGGCAUGCCUUACACAUGCAAGUCGAACGGUAACGCGGGGCAACCUGGCGACGAAUGGCGAACGGGUGAGUAAAGCGUCGGAACGAGCCCAGUAGUGGGGGAUAGCCCGGCGAAAGCCGGAUUAAUACCGCAUACGACCUAUGGGUGAAAGGGGGGGAGCGCAAGACCUCUCGCUAUUGGAGCGGCCGAUGUCAGAUUAGGUAGUUGGGGGGGUAAAGGCCUACCAAGCCGACGAUCUGUAGCUGGUCUGAGAGGACGGCCAGCCACACUGGGACUGAGACACGGCCCAGACUCCUACGGGAGGCAGCAGUGGGGAAUUUUGGACAAUGGGCGCAAGCCUGAUCCAGCCAUGCCGCGUGCGGGAAGAAGGCCUUCGGGUUGUAAACCGCUUUUGUCAGGGAAGAAAUCCUUUGGGUUAAUACCUCGGGGGGAUGACGGUACCUGAAGAAUAAGCACCGGCUAACUACGUGCCAGCAGCCGCCGCCG
RNAcentral lists this ribosomal RNA (498 nucleotides) under uncultured bacterium. Its description in RNAcentral is "partial 16S ribosomal RNA". It matches the Rfam family "Bacterial small subunit ribosomal RNA", at positions 29 to 523 of the family's 1533-position model. The record is from RNAcentral.